GCCUGGGUGGCUCAGUCGGUUGGGCAUCCGACUUCGGCUCAGGUCAUGAUCUCACAGUUCGUGGGUUCCAGCCCCGCAUCAGGCU
Felis catus (domestic cat) is the source of this 85-nucleotide non-coding RNA. Lineage: Eukaryota; Metazoa; Chordata; Mammalia; Carnivora; Felidae. The record is from Rfam.